GUGCCAGCCGCCGCGGUAAUACCGGCAGCCCGAGUGAUGGCCGAUCUUAUUGGGCCUAAAGCGUCCGUAGCUGGCCGCGCAAGUCCAUCGGGAAAUCCACCCGCCCAACGGGUGGCCGUCCGGUGGAAACUGUUCGGCUUGGGGCCGGAGGACCCGAGGGGUACGUCCGGGGUAGGAGUGAAAUCCUGUAAUCCUGGACAGACCGCCGGUGGCGAAAGCGCCUCGGGAAGACGGACCCGACAGUGAGGGACGAAAGCGGGGAUCUCGAACCGGAUUAGAAACCCCGGUAGUCC
This 293-nucleotide ribosomal RNA is filed under the name uncultured bacterium. Its description in RNAcentral is "partial 16S ribosomal RNA". It matches the Rfam family "Archaeal small subunit ribosomal RNA", at positions 455 to 747 of the family's 1478-position model. The record is from RNAcentral.